This 274-nucleotide ribosomal RNA is filed under the name uncultured bacterium. RNAcentral's name for it is "partial 16S ribosomal RNA". It matches the Rfam family "Bacterial small subunit ribosomal RNA", at positions 523 to 796 of the family's 1533-position model. The record is from RNAcentral.
AUACGGAGGGGGUUAGCGUUCUUCGGAAUUACUGGGCGUAAAGCGCACGUAGGCGGACUGGAAAGUUGGGGGUGAAAUCCCGGGGCUCAACCCCGGAACUGCCUCCAAAACUUCCAAUCUAGAGAUCGAGAGAGGUGAGUGGAAUUCCAAGUGUAGAGGUGAAAUUCGUAGAUAUUUGGAGGAACACCAGUGGCGAAGGCGGCUCACUGGCUCGAUACUGACGCUGAGGUGCGAAAGCGUGGGGAGCAAACAGGAUUAGAAACCCUAGUAGUCC